Molecule: ribosomal RNA, 1244 nt
Filed under: 'Fragaria x ananassa' phyllody phytoplasma
Lineage: Bacteria; Bacillati; Mycoplasmatota; Mollicutes; Acholeplasmatales; Acholeplasmataceae
Description: bacterial SSU rRNA
Rfam family: Bacterial small subunit ribosomal RNA
Source: RNAcentral
GAAACGACUGCUAAGACUGGAUAGGAGAUAAGAAGGCAUCUUCUUAUUUUUAAAAGACCUAGUAAUAGGUAUGCUUAAGGAAGGGCUUGCGUCACAUUAGUUAGUUGGUAGGGUAAAGGCCUACCAAGACGAUGAUGUGUAGCCGGGCUGAGAGGCUGAACGGCCACAUUGGAACUGAGACACGGUCCAAACUCCUACGGGAGGCAGCAGUAGGGAAUUUUCGGCAAUGGAGGAAACUCUGACCGAGCAACGCCGCGUGAACGAUGAAGUAUUUCGGUACGUAAAGUUCUUUUAUUAAGGAAGAAAAGAUGGUGGAAAAACCAUUAUGACGGUACUUAAUGAAUAAGCCCCGGCUAACUAUGUGCCAGCAGCCGCGGUAAUACAUAGGGGGCGAGCGUUAUCCGGAAUUAUUGGGCGUAAAGGGUGCGUAGGCGGUUUAAUAAGUUUAUGGUCUAAGUGCAAUGCUUAACAUUGUGAUGCUAUAAAAACUGUUUGACUAGAGUUGGAUAGAGGCAAGUGGAAUUCCAUGUGUAGUGGUAAAAUGCGUAAAUAUAUGGAGGAACACCAUGAGCGAAGGCGGCUUGCUGGGUCUUAACUGACGCUGAGGCACGAAAGCGUGGGGAGCAAACAGGAUUAGAUACCCUGGUAGUCCACGCUGUAAACGAUGAGUACUAGAUGUUGGGUUAAACCAGUGUCGAAGUUAACACAUUAAGUACUCCGCCUGAGUAGUACGUACGCAAGUAUGAAACUUAAAGGAAUUGACGGGACUCCGCACAAGCGGUGGAUCAUGUUGUUUAAUUCGAAGAUACCCGAAAAACCUCACCAGGUCUUGACAUGCUUCUGCAAAGCUGUAGAAAUACAGUGGAGGUUAUCAGUUGUACAGGUGGUGCAUGGUUGUCGUCAGCUCGUGUCGUGAGAUGUUGGGUUAAGUCCCGCAACGAGCGCAACCCUUGUUGUUAAUUGCCAUCAUUAAGUUGGGGACUUUAGCAAGACUGCCAGUGAUAAAUUGGAGGAAGGUGGGGAUGACGUCAAAUCAUCAUGCCCCUUAUGACCUGGGCUACAAACGUGAUACAAUGGCUGUUACAAAGGGUAGCUGAAGCGCAAGUUUUUGGCAAAUCUCAAAAAAACAGUCUCAGUUCGGAUUGAAGUCUGCAACUCGACUUCAUGAAGUUGGAAUCGCUAGUAAUCGCGAAUCAGCAUGUCGCGGUGAAUACGUUCUCGGGGUUUGUACACACCGCCCGUCA